Molecule: non-coding RNA, 166 nt
Filed under: Pessonella sp. PRA-29
Lineage: Eukaryota; Discosea; Flabellinia; Vannellidae
Source: RNAcentral
AAACAGAAAACAGCCAAAGAAAAACCCCAACCAAAAUCAAAGAAAAACACAAAAGAAAUUGAAGAAUCAAAAGAACCAUUUCCAUUUGAAAACUUGCCAGUUUAUGUUGCUGCAGAUUUACUUGUAUGGUUGGAUGAUUUACCUUCUGUUUUCAAUCUGAUGCAAG